This 317-nucleotide ribosomal RNA is filed under the name uncultured bacterium. RNAcentral describes it as "bacterial SSU rRNA". It matches the Rfam family "Bacterial small subunit ribosomal RNA", at positions 28 to 334 of the family's 1533-position model. The record is from RNAcentral.
GAUGAACGCUGGCGGCGUGCUUAACACAUGCAAGUCGAGGGGCAGCGGGGGAGUAGCAAUACUCCCGCCGGCGACCGGCGCACGGGUGAGUAACACGUAUGAAACCUGCCCGUAGCAGGGGGAUAAGCGGAAGAAAUUCCGUCUAAUACCGCGUAACAACCCAUGGAGGCAUCUCCGUGGGUUUAAAGGAAGCGAUUCCGGCUACGGAUGGUCAUGCGUCGCAUUAGCUAGUUGGCGGGGUAACGGCCCACCAAGGCGACGAUGCGUAGGGGUUCUGAGAGGAAGGUCCCCCACACUGGUACUGAGACACGGACCAG